CCUACGGGUGGCAGCAGUGAGGAAUAUUGGUCAAUGGGCGUAAGCCUGACCCAGCCACGCCGCGUGAGGGAUGAAGGUUCUAUGGAUCGUAACCCUCUUUUAUACGGUACUAAAGUGCGUGUCGUGUCCCGUUUUGUAUGUACCUUAUGAGUAAGGAUCGGCUAACUCCGUUCCAACAGCCGCGGUAAUACGGAGGAUCCGAGCGUUAUCCGGAUUUAUGUGGUUUAAUGGGUGCGUAGUCGGCCUUUUAAGUCAGCGGGAAAAGUAGGUGGCUCAACCAUAGAAUUGACGUUGAAUCUGGGAGGCUUGAGUAUGUUUGAGGCAGGCGGAAUGCGUGGUGUAGCGGUGAAAUGCGUAGAUAUCACGCAGAACACCGAUGGCGAAGGCAGCCUGCCAGGCCAUGACUGACGCUGAGGCACGAAAGCGUGGGGAGCAAACAGGAUUAGAUACCCUUGUAGUC
RNAcentral lists this ribosomal RNA (460 nucleotides) under uncultured bacterium. RNAcentral describes it as "partial 16S ribosomal RNA". It matches the Rfam family "Bacterial small subunit ribosomal RNA", at positions 338 to 795 of the family's 1533-position model. The record is from RNAcentral.